Molecule: unclassified non-coding RNA, 258 nt
Filed under: plant metagenome
Description: partial contains small subunit ribosomal RNA, internal transcribed spacer 1, and 5.8S ribosomal RNA
Rfam family: Eukaryotic small subunit ribosomal RNA (bases 1-54)
Source: RNAcentral
GAAAGUAAAAGUCGUAACAAGGUUUCCGUAGGUGAACCCGCGGAAGGAUCAUUACUGAGUGAGGGCCCCUCGGGGUCCAACCUCCCACCCGUGUUUAACGAACCUUGUUGCUUCGGCGGGCCCGCCUCACGGCCGCCGGGGGGCAUCUGCCCCCGGGCCCGCGCCCGCCGAAGCCACCUGUGAACGCUGUCUGAAGUAUGCAGUCUGAGACAAUUAUUAAAUUAAUUAAAACUUUCAACAACGGAUCUCUUGGUUCCG